RNAcentral lists this ribosomal RNA (435 nucleotides) under uncultured bacterium. RNAcentral's name for it is "partial 16S ribosomal RNA". It matches the Rfam family "Bacterial small subunit ribosomal RNA", at positions 29 to 507 of the family's 1533-position model. The record is from RNAcentral.
AGCGAACGCUGGCGGCAGGCUUAACACAUGCAAGUCGAACGGGCAUCUUCGGAUGUCAGUGGCAGACGGGUGAGUAACACGUGGGAACGUACCCUUCGGUUCGGAAUAACUCAGGGAAACUUGAGCUAAUACCGGAUACGCCCUUUUGGGGAAAGGUUUACUGCCGAAGGAUCGGCCCGCGUCUGAUUAGCUUGUUGGUGGGGUAACGGCCUACCAAGGCGACGAUCAGUAGCUGGUCUGAGAGGAUGAUCAGCCACACUGGGACUGGGACACGGCCCAGACUCCUACGGGAGGCGGCAGUGGGGAAUAUUGGACAAUGGGGGCAAGCCUGAUCCAGCCAUGCCGCGUGAGUGAUGAAGGCCUUAGGGUUGUAAAGCUCUUUUGUCCGGGACGAUAAUGACGGUACCGGAAGAAUAAGCCCCGGCUAACUUCGUG